GCCGCCCCGUGGGGCACGCGGGGAGCGGCCGGGAGGGACAUGAGCCCGCCGGGCACCGCAGCGGGCGGCGGCAGCAGCCUCGCAGCACGGCGGCUGCUCCUUCUGCUCGUGCUCCAGGCCGCCCGCCCUGCGCAGGGACAGCGGGCUGCAACAAAUAGUUCAGUCCCAGAUGUCUGUGCCACUUGCCAUGCUAACGCCACGUGUCAGCAAAAAGAAGGCAAAAAUGUCUGCAUCUGUAACUAUGGAUUUGUGGGUAAUGGGAGGACUCAUUGUCAAGAUAAAGAUGAAUGCCAGAUUGGAGCGAGCAAGAUCUGUGGCGAGCAUACAUCAUGUCACAAUACGCAUGGAAGUUUUUACUGCAUUUGUCUUGAAGGAUACCAUCCCUCUAACAACAACAAGACAUUUAUUCCCAAUGAUGGCACGUAUUGUACAGAUAUAGAUGAGUGCCAGCUCUCAGGUCUGUGUGGUGUUGGGGGACGAUGUGUGAACACUGUUGGAAGCUACAACUGCUACUGUAUGGAAGGAUAUAGACCAGAAAAUGGAACAGAAUUUUUUCAUCCAGCUGGGAACACUGUUUCAUGCAAAGAAAUUAGGUGUGGCCCUCUAGAGAUCACGCAUGGACACAUCCUAGGGAACUACACCUCUGUGCUGGGGAGUGAAGUUCAUUAUGAGUGUGAAGAAGGGUUUUACAGCGAAGGGGAAAACGUAUCUAUUUGCACCAAAGAUGAAAUCUGGGAACCCUCUGUCAUAAGCUGUAAAGCUGUGGAUUGUGGAGUCCCACCUUCUGUCUUGAAUGCAUAUUCAGAUCCUGUAAGGAGGACCACCUAUGGAAAUGAAGUUGCUUAUAAUUGCCUGCAUGGUUAUGUUAUUGAAAGUGGUAACCAGACUGCAGUUUGUAAUGCCAAAGGACAAUGGGAAGGUGCUGAUCUGGUGUGCAAAGAAAUAGACUGUGGCAGACCUUUGUGGAUUCCACAAGCAGAAAUGAUUUGGGACAACUCCACAACUCUAGGAAGCAUGGUGUACUAUAAAUGUAGUGAAGGGUUUCAUUUUAAUGGAGAGAAGAAUUUUUCACAAUGCACAAUAAUUCAGAAGUGGGAAAAUAUCACUGGUGUAUGUGAAGUAACAGACUGUGGCAGACCUCCUUCAAUCCCCAACACAGACAUGAUUUGGAACAACAUUUCCCAGCUAGGGAGUGCAGUGCACUAUCAAUGUAAAAAGGGAUUCCACAGCAUAAAUCGAAGGAAUAUGUCACGUUGUACUUAUAAUGGAUCCUGGGAAAUUCCAGAUCUAAUAUGUAGAGAAGUAGACUGUGGCAUUCCUCCACCAAUACAACAUGCUGAGCUAGUAUGGAAUUCCAGUUCGAGUCUUGGAAGUGUGGUGCAGUAUUCAUGUCAGAGGGGAUUUGAAUAUGCUGGUGGAAACAAUAUUUCAGUUUGCACAGAGGAAGGUGUUUGGGUAAAAAGCACUUUAACAUGCACAGUGAAGGCAGCCAUUGGAAACGUGUCUGUAUUUAAUCAAACCUGUGUGAAGUGGAGAAGGAGCACUAGAGAAACCAACUUGAAGGUGGUGUAUUUGUUUCAUGUACAAGGGCGAAGAUGGCAUCAAAAGGCAUUUUUCCAUGAAGCAAUGUUUAACUUCACGGCAGAGAAAGAAACUCCAGAGCUGUGUCUAGACCUAAAAGCAGGCAGUAACUACACUGUGAACAUCACUGUAUUGUCUCCUGAGCCCUCGAGACCAGUCACUGUAACAAUCAAUACAGUUGAAGAGGAAGGAUUCCACAGUGUUUCAGUAUUUAAUGAUACCUGUUUGAAAUGGAAAAGACAUUCUGGAAGAAUUGGGGUGAAGGAAACCUAUCUGUUUCACAUACAGGAACAACAGGGAUACUUGGUGAAAUCCUCCCAUGAAAUGAUGAUUAACUUCACCACAGAGGAAGAGAACCCAGAGGUAUGCCUGCCUCUACACCUGGGCGUAAACUACACUGUAUCUAUCACUGAGGCAUCUACCAAGCUUGUUUUACAAAUCCCCAUAGUGCUCCCAGCAACUGAAGAGGAAUUGCUCAGCAAUGUUUCUGUAUUUAAUGAAACCUGCGUGAAGUGGCAGAGAAAAGGUGCAAGAGCUGGGACAAAGGAAACAUAUACAUUUCAUAUAUUGGGACGAAGACGGUACCAGAAGGAAUUCUCUCGUGAAAUGAUACUUAACUUCACAACAGAUGAAGAGACUCCAGAGGUGUGUUUAGAGCUGAACUCUGAUGCUAACUACAUGGUGAACAUUACUACAGCAUCCUCUAAGGGGACCUCGGCCCUAAUUACUAUAGCAAUUAAGACAGAGGUAAAGGAAGCCUUCAGUAAUAUGGUGAUACUUAACGACACCUGCUUGAAAUGGAGGCAAAGCCUAAGGAGAGCUGGUAGGAAGGAAAUCUAUUCAUUUCACAUACAGGGUCGACGCUGGUAUCAGAAGGAGUUCUUUCAUGAAAUGGCCUUUAACCUCACCGCUUAUGGACAGACUCCAGAGGUGUGUCUUGAUUUGCGCCCAGGCACCAAUUACACUGUGAAUAUUUCCAUGGCAGCUUUGGAUCUUUCUGUGCUAGUUUUCAUGACAACUCCAAUUAUUGAUCCUCUAUUCCCAGAAAUAGAGUUUGUUACAGUACAAGGGCCUGCACCAGCACUCAGCCUACGAAAAGCAGAAGAUAGAAAUGGACCUAUCAGUUUUUAUCAAGUGAUUGUGCUUCCCUUGGCCUUGCAAAGCACAUUUACUUGUGAUUCCCUGGCUGCUGUGACUUUCUUUAACAAUGCCACUGAUGCUAAGGGGUAUGUGGCAGCUGAAUUCCUCGCCGAGGAUGUUGCUGACAACAUGCUGAUCUCUGUUGGAGACAGACAUUACUACGGGGCAUUCUAUAAUGCUCCCUUAAAGCAGGGGAAAGAUUACUGUGUGGUACUGAGAAUUAUAAGCCAAUGGAAUAAGGUGAGGACGCAAUCUUGUGCAGUUUGGGCACAAAUUGAAGAUUUAUCACCCACUCUGCAACAUAUGACUCUUGCUGGAUUAGGGUCGGUCACUGCUGUCUGCCUUAUACUGUUCUUGUCCUUCUUGGCAGCACGAAUGACCACGUUCCAUGGAACGCAUCAACAUUCCAGACAUAUGCCAAUCUCUCCCAGUGUCCUCUGACUCAUCCACACCGUGUCAAUGCUAAGGGCAGGUCUACACUACCCGCCAGAUCAGCAGGUAGACACGAUACAUCGAUCCCCAAAUGCACUCCCCGUUGACUCCGGGACUCCACCAGGGCGAGAGGUGGAAGCGGAGUCGACGGGGGAGCGGUGGCUGUCGAUCCCGUGUCACGAGGAUGUAAACCUUUGAAGCCACCUCCCUGAGGAGAUGUGUAUAUACUAGUUCAAACUGAAUUCUCCAGAGACCAACAAAGGCAAUACAUUUGGAUACAAGCCUGGGAUUUAAGCGGACUCAGGGCCUUCUUCCUGAUCCAGUAAACAGACAGGACCCUCCCAUCCACAGAGGGCCUCAAUCUUUAGGAGUGGAUUGGUCUGAGACCCCCAUGAGACUGGAUGCUUGUUCUGAGCUGAAGCUCUGAGGAACUUGUGACCACUAGGAAGUCCCUAGUGUGGGGUCCUGAAAGGCCAUCUAUGACUGAGGUCAGAACAGAGCCUCAAGCUCACCACUUAAAAUUUUCAGCACCUAUGGUAAAUGGGAGUCUGACAGCUAUCAUGUUCCUAAUUGUGUGCUGAUCAUGCUUUCGAAGGCAAUAUCCUAUAUAGCCCAUCCAAAACAACUAUUCAUUGUUGUGUUGGCACUGGGAUAGCAUCUCUUGUUCUAUGGCUGAAUGUUUUAUUUCCAGUUAUUCUAUAUAUUUAUCAGAUUUGUCAUGUCAUCAUUUCAUAAUCACUGCUGGGUUUCUUUCGGAGCCAGUCAGAGAACAGAAAAUUGCACCAUGAACUUAUCUGCCUUUUGAGUUUAGUAAAGCCACAAGGCAUUUUGCGUUUUGCAAAGUCAGUUGGAAAUGUGAUUCUUCUCAUUGCUCGGAGUAAGUUGGAGUUGUGGCGUGGAGGGGUCAUAUGUGCACACAUGGUCCAGUCUCAGUUUUAUCAAUGAGCCCAACCAGCAGUGCUGGCUCGUAAGGAAGAAUUCCCUUGAAAUUGGAAAUAAGAAAAAGCAGGAAACCCUCACUUUAAAUUAAGGAUGCUUUUGGUUUUGAAAGGCCUGAGCUAGCUUUCUUUAAACAGUUAGUGGCUCAGGGUCUGAUCCAGCAAAGCUGGACUCAGCUCUACUCUGAAAAGUCUGCUCCUAUUGAAACUAAUGGGAAUUUUGCUUUUGAUUUCAAUACAAGCAGGAUUGCAUCUUAACGCCAGCCAGGUCAGAAUCAAAAGCAGAUCUUAUAGGACUAGGUUUUAUCCCACUCUUGAUACCAUUUAAAACCAGAAUCAGCAUUUGACUCCAUAAUAAAAAGGCAGAAUUUAAAUUUUAGGAACUUUCUAAUAUCAAUACCUUGCAUUUAUAUAGAGUCUUUUAGAAAGUAUUCUCCCUCCCAAGCACUAAUUCUCAUCAGUAUCCUUUCUAGGUAUAUAAGGGUUAUUGUAUCCAUUCCACAGAGGACCAUACUAAUGCUCACAGUGAAUUAAUUGAAUUGCAGAGGUAGGACUAAAACUUGCCCUCCUGCUUUAACUUAGCUGGCAGAAGAGUCAAUUGAUCUUUGAUUUAAAUACCAGACUGACAUUUUGAGGGCUCAGAGAGGGAAGAGACCUUUGCAUUUCCUAUUUCACUGAACUAGCUACACAUAUGGGGGGGAGUAUUCAACACCACUACACCCUAGUACUUGUCAAAAACAGCAGCUGUUCGCCUACAUUUUCUUAUGUGAUAAUAGCUUUGGGGGCUUUUUAGAUCACAACAGGUUUAUGUAAAUAAACUAGUCCAUCACUCUCCACAACCCAGAGACAUCUUGUGCCCAUUAUAACAGGUCUGCAAGUGAACAGACUAGUUUAAAGGGAGUUCCCUAGCAACAGCAAACCUCAAGAGAAAUCACACACUGAGAAAUCAUGCUGGAUUUCCAUCUGCUGGAGCUCUGCUCACAAUUGUCCAUGCACAAGCUGCUGUAGGAGCAGCUGAGUUAUUAAACAUGUGCCCCUUAGAUAUCAAAUAGAAGCCAAAUAAAAGUAGUUAUAAAUUACCCUGGAGUCAAUUAAAAUGUCUACCAUGUUGUCCUCCUUCAUCCUCUUCUUUUUCCACACGCUUCCCCCAUCUCAUCCCCACCCCCUGCUCUAGCUGUUGGCUGCAAUUUAAAGUUUUAAAAAUCCUUUAUCUUUGUUUGGACAGCAAGUCAGGGAAUAUAGACCUUGGCUUCUGGUGUUAAUGCAGAUCACUGCAUCACAUACUGGCCAGCAGCCCAUUGUGCCCCAGCCACCAAUUUCAUCAGCUCCCUUUCCCUUCCCCCUCCCAGAAGAUUGUCCUAACACCAUAAAAAUCUUUUGAAGAUUUUAUUGACCUUGAGCACACUAUUCAGCAUCCUUGUGAUUCAGUUUACCCAUCUGUAAAAUAGAGUUUUAAAUACCUACCCCAGUAUGAAGUGCAAGGAGAUUAGAUGAAAGGUGCUAUAUAUGGUAAAGUGCAACGUAUUACCAUCACCAUGUAAGAGGAAAUGUUUAUUGGUUACAUUCUGCACUUGCUCAGCCUAUAGUUAAACUGCAUGCUUGCCAUGGUAUCGUGUCUGCACAGGUAACCCAGAA
This is an RNA transcript of Gopherus evgoodei (Goodes thornscrub tortoise), 5726 nucleotides long. It is a transcript of the gene named sushi domain containing 1, with no coding region annotated. The record is from RefSeq and is a predicted model, not a curated record. The transcript has 23 exons. NCBI's taxonomy places the organism in Eukaryota, Metazoa, Chordata, Testudines, Testudinidae.